AGUAAAUUUUUCCGCACAAUAACGCGGAUCUCUAUGGGGGCGAACUAGGUUCGACAUGCGUGGUAAAGGUGCGGUUUUUGCUCGGCAUGAUACCACCGUUAUCGGGUCAAAAACACAACUGCCAACGAUAAUCAAUUGGCACUCGCUGCUUAGAAUUUCUAGGUAAGCGCGGUCCGGGGGGCGCCGGGCAACAGAAGCCCCUCACU
This 206-nucleotide transfer-messenger RNA is filed under the name Alphaproteobacteria bacterium. RNAcentral describes it as "partial transfer-messenger RNA". It matches the Rfam family "Alphaproteobacteria transfer-messenger RNA", at positions 119 to 355 of the family's 355-position model. From Rfam's summary of the family: Bacterial tmRNA, also known as 10Sa RNA or SsrA, is named for its dual tRNA and mRNA-like properties. The record is from RNAcentral. Lineage: Bacteria; Pseudomonadati; Pseudomonadota; Alphaproteobacteria.